AUGGCAUCAUGAGUCCGCAUGUUCACAUGAUUAAAGGUAUUCCGGUAGACGAUGGGGAUGCGUUCCAUUAGAUAGUAGGCGGGGUAACGGCCCACCUAGUCUUCGAUGGAUAGGGGUUCUGAGAGGAAGGUCCCCCACAUUGGAACUGAGACACGGUCCAAACUCCUACGGGAGGCAGCAGUGAGGAAUAUUGGUCAAUGGGCGAGAGCCUGAACCAGCCAAGUAGCGUGAAGGAUGACUGCCCUAUGGGUUGUAAACUUCUUUUAUAAAGGAAUAAAGUCGGGUAUGGAUACCCGUUUGCAUGUACUUUAUGAAUAAGGAUCGGCUAACUCCGUGCCAGCAGCCGCGGUAAUACGGAGGAUCCGAGCGUUAUCCGGAUUUAUUGGGUUUAAAGGGAGCGUAGAUGGAUGUUUAAGUCAGUUGUGAAAGUUUGCGGCUCAACCGUAAAAUUGCAGUUGAUACUGGAUAUCUUGAGUGCAGUUGAGGCAGGCGGAAUUCGUGGUGUAGCGGUGAAAUGCUUAGAUAUCACG
This 530-nucleotide ribosomal RNA is filed under the name uncultured Bacteroidales bacterium. RNAcentral's name for it is "bacterial SSU rRNA". It matches the Rfam family "Bacterial small subunit ribosomal RNA", at positions 173 to 701 of the family's 1533-position model. The record is from RNAcentral. Lineage: Bacteria; Pseudomonadati; Bacteroidota; Bacteroidia; Bacteroidales.